UAGUAUGGGGAUCUGCCCGAUAGAGGGGGAUAACUACUGGAAACGGUGGCUAAUACCGCAUAAUGUCUACGGACCAAAGCAGGGGCUCUUCGGACCUUGCACUAUCGGAUGAACCCAUAUGUGAUUAGCUAGUAGGUGGGGUAAAGGCUCACCUAGGCGACGAUCUCUAGCUGGUCUGAGAGGAUGAUCAGCCACACUGGGACUGAGACACGGCCCAG
RNAcentral lists this ribosomal RNA (218 nucleotides) under uncultured bacterium. RNAcentral's name for it is "partial 16S ribosomal RNA". It matches the Rfam family "Bacterial small subunit ribosomal RNA", at positions 113 to 334 of the family's 1533-position model. The record is from RNAcentral.